CAGUAGCCGCGGGAAUACAGAGGGUGCGAGCGUUGUCCGGAAUUAUUGGGCGUAAAGAGCUCGUAGGCGGUUUGUCGCGUCUGCUGUGAAAACGCGAGGCUCAACCUCGCGCCUGCAGUGGGUACGGGCAAACUAGAGUGCGGUAGGGGAGAUUGGAAUUCCUGGUGUAGCGGUGGAAUGCGCAGAUAUCAGGAGGAACACCGAUGGCGAAGGCAGAUCUCUGGGCCGUAACUGACGCUGAGGAGCGAAAGCAUGGGGAGCGAACAGGAUUAGAUACCCGAGUAGUCCCUGUCUCUUAUAC
This 301-nucleotide ribosomal RNA is filed under the name uncultured bacterium. RNAcentral describes it as "partial 16S ribosomal RNA". It matches the Rfam family "Bacterial small subunit ribosomal RNA", at positions 509 to 807 of the family's 1533-position model. The record is from RNAcentral.